GGAAAGGAGACUUUGCAUCAUUUGUGAAAUUGCCGGAUUUUGCAACAUCUGACUCAUUGCAUUAGCAUCAGGCAUAGCACCAAACAUGUUCUCAAACUCAGGAAGGCCAAGUCCACCUAGUCCAGCAGGUGCCUGCUGCGGCCUAGCAUCCCCAGCAGUAUUCAACCCUGUAGUGUUUGUUUGGGCACCACCAGUCCCCGCAGCAGUCCAAGGGUUGGGCAGUGGAUUGGUAUUUGGAGCGGGGGAACCAG
This 251-nucleotide unclassified non-coding RNA is filed under the name Hevea brasiliensis (rubber tree). The record is from RNAcentral. Lineage: Eukaryota; Viridiplantae; Streptophyta; Magnoliopsida; Malpighiales; Euphorbiaceae.